This is a long non-coding RNA of Prunus mume (Japanese apricot), 491 nucleotides long. RefSeq lists it as uncharacterized. The record is from RefSeq and is a predicted model, not a curated record. NCBI's taxonomy places the organism in Eukaryota, Viridiplantae, Streptophyta, Magnoliopsida, Rosales, Rosaceae.
UUCCAUUAAUUCCAAACCCUCUUCCCUUCCCUGCACUGCAACUCUAUAAAAAUAUGCACUACUAGUGAAUUAGAGAGAGAGAGAGAGAGAGAGAGAGAGAUGCCGGGUUGGGGACCGCCGCCGGGAGGACCUCCAGGGCCGGCAGGGCCAUGUGGCUGCUGCGCUUUCUGUUGUGAUGGAAUUUUCAGGCUUUUUUCUUCAUGUUUCUAUCUCUUGUGCUGCUGUUGCAUCCUAGAGAACUGCUGUGGACCUAUGUUUGGUGGGCCACCUGGACCCCCUGGCCCACCUGGCGGGCCCCCUGGACCUCCCCCGCCAUGGUAGAUAGAUCACGUGUCGUGUGUUAUAUAUCGAUCACGAGUACAUUUCAUGUAUAUGUAUGUAAUGCAACUCCAUAUAUCAACCUAGCUAGUAGCUACCUAUUUCAAAUUUGACAAGAUGUUGUAUUAAAAUCGUUUCCUUGGUAUUUCACUGUUUGCCCUCUUCUACGCUUA